CAAUAGCGUAUAUUAAAGUUGUUGCAGUUAAAAAGCUCGUAGUUGGAUUUCUGGUGGGAGCGAUCGGUCUGGCGCUUAGCGCGAGUACUUGCAUCGUCUCCGGCCAUCCUUGGGGAGAGUCUGUCUGGCAUUAAGUUGUCGGGCAGAGGAUCCUCAUCGUUUACUGUGAAAAAAUUAGAGUGUUCAAAGCAGGCUUAUGCCGUUGAAUAUAUUAGCAUGGAAUAAUAAGAUAGGACUUUAGUACUAUUUUGUUGGUUUGCGCACCAAAGUAAUGAUUAAUAGGGACAGUUGGGGGUAUUCGUAUUCCGUUGUCAGAGGUGAAAUUCUUGGAUUUACGGAAGACGAACUACUGCGAAAGCAUUUACCAAGGAUGUUUUCAUUAA
Molecule: ribosomal RNA, 383 nt
Filed under: uncultured eukaryote
Lineage: Eukaryota
Description: partial 18S ribosomal RNA
Rfam family: Eukaryotic small subunit ribosomal RNA
Source: RNAcentral